UCCGAAUGCCAAUUAAUUUAACUUGGGAGUCAGAACAUGGGUGAUAAGGUCCGUGUUCGAAAGGGAAACAGCCCAGACCACCAGCUAAGGUCCCAAAAUAUAUGUUAAGUGGAAAAGGAUGUGGCGUUGCCCAGACAACUAGGAUGUUGGCUUAGAAGCAGCCAUCAUUUAAAGAGUGCGUAAUAGCUCACUAGUCGAGUGACACUGCGCCGAAAAUGUACCGGGGCUAAACAUAUUACCGAAGCUGUGGAUUGUCCUUUGGACAAUGGUAGGAGAGCGUUCUAAGGGCGUUGAAGCAUGAUCGUAAGGACAUGUGGAGCGCUUAGAAGUGAGAAUGCCGGUGUGAGUAGCGAAAGACGGGUGAGAAUCCCGUCCACCGAUUGACUAAGGUUUCCAGAGGAAGGCUCGUCCGCUCUGGGUUAGUCGGGUCCUAAGCUGAGGCCGACAGGCGUAGGCGAUGGAUAACAGGUUGAUAUUCCUGUACCACCUAUAAUCGUUUUAAUCGAUGGGGGGACGCAGUAGGAUAGGCGAAGCGUGCGAUUGGAUUGCACGUCUAAGCAGUAAGGCUGAGUAUUAGGCAAAUCCGGUACUCGUUAAGGCUGAGCUGUGAUGGGGAGAAGACAUUGUGUCUUCGAGUCGUUGAUUUCACACUGCCGAGAAAAGCCUCUAGAUAGAAAAUAGGUGCCCGUACCGCAAACCGACACAGGUAGUCAAGAUGAGAAUUCUAAGGUGAGCGAGCGAACUCUCGUUAAGGAACUCGGCAAAAUGACCCCGUAACUUCGGGAGAAGGGGUGCUCUUUAGGGUU
This 806-nucleotide ribosomal RNA is filed under the name Enterococcus faecium. RNAcentral describes it as "partial 23S ribosomal RNA". It matches the Rfam family "Bacterial large subunit ribosomal RNA", at positions 955 to 1762 of the family's 2925-position model. Lineage: Bacteria; Bacillati; Bacillota; Bacilli; Lactobacillales; Enterococcaceae. The record is from RNAcentral.